UGAGGCACAAAACUAUGAAGUAGUUGGCUCAAAGUCUCAGAGAUUGAGAUGCCAACCCAGGAUUUACAGCCAGGUUAUUCUCUUCUCCAGACUCUGCAGCGAGAUGACCUGGGAACCCAUGCGGUUUGAAGCUGAAGAGCCAUUCAGCAGAGAGAGAGAGAGAGGGAGAAAGAGAAGUAUUUAUGUGUGAGCACGCCCCCCAACCAGGGACCUGGCAACCUGGACAUGUACCCUGACCUGGAAUCAAACUGGUGACCUUUGGCUUCUUCGGAUGAUGCCCAACCCACUGAGCCACAUCAGUCCUUACCAGGAAACAGGAGCCCUUCACAGCUCUGCUGUUCACUGGUCCUGUAAGUGAUUUGGGAUUAAGGAGGCCCCAGAUUCUCCCAACUAGAAAAUGAGAAUAAGAAAUACUCCCACCUGGAAAGUUUAAACAAGAGAUGCAUAAAGAUACCCUCCACAAAGGAAACAAAACAAAAGGAAAACCCCUCCAGGAUCUACGCCGGGUGGGAGAAGUCACAAGCUCACUAGUUUCAAGCCCCGCCUUUCUCUGACUCCAAGGAGGGACAGCUGACCAGAGCUGACCCUGCUCCUGGUUUGGGAAGGUCCUGGGCAGCGUUUCCCAGAUUUCGGUCCCUAGUAUCUCACUUUCAUUGUAUAUGUCAGGAUAAUUUUCUCUAAAUUGACUAACACUUUUUUUAACUUAAGUAAAAUUUUUCA
Long non-coding RNA from Artibeus jamaicensis (Jamaican fruit-eating bat), 720 nucleotides. RefSeq lists it as uncharacterized. NCBI's taxonomy places the organism in Eukaryota, Metazoa, Chordata, Mammalia, Chiroptera, Phyllostomidae. The record is from RefSeq and is a predicted model, not a curated record. The transcript is spliced from 3 exons.